AAUCUUAUAGUUUAUUAAAAAUUUUAAAUUGCAAAUUUAAAGAAAUAAAUUUAUUUAUUAAGAUUU
Molecule: transfer RNA, 66 nt
Filed under: Janus sp. 1 GYN-2022e
Lineage: Eukaryota; Metazoa; Arthropoda; Insecta; Hymenoptera; Cephidae
Description: tRNA-Cys
Source: RNAcentral